UACGUAGGGUGCGAGCGUUAAUCGGAAUGACUGGGCGUAAAGGGUGCGCAGGCGGAACGGUAAGAGCGAUGUGAAAUCCCCGGGCUUAACCUGGGAAUGGCAUAGCUGACUGUUGUUCUAGAGUAUGGCAGAGGGGGGUGGAAUUCCACGUGUAGCAGUGAAAUGCGUAGAGAUGUGGAGGAAUACCGAUGGCGAAGGCAGCCCCCUGGGCCAAUACUGACGCUCAUGCACGAAAGCGUGGGGAUCAAACAGG
Molecule: ribosomal RNA, 253 nt
Filed under: uncultured bacterium
Lineage: Bacteria
Description: partial 16S ribosomal RNA
Rfam family: Bacterial small subunit ribosomal RNA
Source: RNAcentral